AGCGUUAUUCGUCGUGAUUGGGUGUAAAAACAGCUAGGCUGUCCGGUUAAACUUGGUUUCAAAAAACUGCAUUAAGGUUUUUUUGUAAGAAUUGCCGGUACUAGAGGUAACUAGACGUUGGUAGAGUUGUAGUUGGAGCGGUGAAAUGCUUAGAUAACUGCAGAACUUUCGAAAUGUAGCAAGGCUGUCUACGAUAGUUACCUGACGCUGAACUGUUAAAGUAUGAGUAUCAAAGAGGAUUGGAGACCCUCGUAGUUCAUACCCUGAAUAAUGGAUGUCAAUUUUUGAAGUUAGCUAACGCACGAACAUCUUACCUGAAGAGUAAGGUCGCAAGGAUUAAAUUUAAAGAGAUUGGCGGGAGUUUAGAUAAAUGGUGGAACAUGUGGUUUAAUUCGAUAAUCCGCGAGAAACCUUACCAGUGUAAGAUGCAAAACCUAGAAAGUUAAUACCUAACUUUACCGUUGUUUUUGUUUAGGUACUGCAUGGCUGUCGUCAGUUCGUUAUGUAGGUUUACUUCGAACACAAUCUUUAAUGGCGACUAACGCUUUACUUUAGGCUUGAAACUUAGCUGCCUAAAUAAGCCGUAUGUCGUCUUAUCAUCCGAGUACUGGGUAUUAUAUCCUUAACUUUGGUGAAUGGAGAGGGGAAGUCAAGUCAUUAUGGUCUUAAUAUGCUGGGCUACACACGUGUUACAGGGGCAAAACCAAUGGAAACCGCCUCAAAGCGACUAAUUCCUAAAAAUUGCCCCGGUUCAGAUUAUUCAUUGAAAUUUAUGAGUAUGAAGCAGGAAUCAUUAGUAAUCGCAUAUAAGAUCGCUGCGAUGAAUCUUUUUAAACUUUGCACACACCGCCCAUCAUAUUCGAAGAGUUGUCUCGGUUUGAAGAUAAAACCCCGCCUGGUUAACUUAGUUAAAUUGAGGCGAAUCUGUCUAAAAACGGGGUG
RNAcentral lists this ribosomal RNA (942 nucleotides) under Moneuplotes minuta. RNAcentral describes it as "partial small subunit ribosomal RNA". It matches the Rfam family "Bacterial small subunit ribosomal RNA", at positions 537 to 1470 of the family's 1533-position model. The record is from RNAcentral. Lineage: Eukaryota; Ciliophora; Spirotrichea; Euplotida; Euplotidae.